RNAcentral lists this ribosomal RNA (501 nucleotides) under uncultured bacterium. Its description in RNAcentral is "partial 16S ribosomal RNA". It matches the Rfam family "Bacterial small subunit ribosomal RNA", at positions 30 to 523 of the family's 1533-position model. The record is from RNAcentral.
AUUGAACGCUGGCGGCAGGCUUAACACAUGCAAGUCGAGCGGGGAGAUGUAGCUUGCUACAUUUCCUAGCGGCGGACGGGUGAGUAAUGCUUAGGAAUCUGCCUAUUAGUGGGGGACAACAUUCCGAAAGGAAUGCUAAUACCGCAUACGCCCUACGGGGGAAAGCAGGGGAUCUUCGGACCUUGCGCUAAUAGAUGAGCCUAAGUCAGAUUAGCUAGUUGGUGGGGUAAAGGCCUACCAAGGCGACGAUCUGUAGCGGGUCUGAGAGGAUGAUCCGCCACACUGGGACUGAGACACGGCCCAGACUCCUACGGGAGGCAGCAGUGGGGAAUAUUGGACAAUGGGCGAAAGCCUGAUCCAGCCAUGCCGCGUGUGUGAAGAAGGCCUUUUGGUUGUAAAGCACUUUAAGCGAGGAGGAGGCUACUUAGAUUAAUACUCUAGGAUAGUGGACGUUACUCGCAGAAUAAGCACCGGCUAACUCUGUGCCAGCAGCCGCCGUAA